UGGGGAAUAUUGGACAAUGGGGGAAACCCUGAUCCAGCAAUGCCGCGUGAGUGAAGAAGGCCUUAGGGUUGUAAAGCUCUUUCGCCCGCGAAGAUAAUGACGGUAGCGGGAGAAGAAGCCCCGGCUAAAUCCGUGCCAGCAGCCGCGGUAAUACGGAGGGGGCUAGCGUUGUUCGGAAUUACUGGGCGUAAAGCGUACGUAGGCGGAUGCGCAAGUUGGGGGUGAAAUCCCGGGGCUUAACCUCGGAAUUGCCCUCAAAACUGCACGUCUUGAGACCGAGAGAGGUAAGGGGAAUUCCUAGUGUAGAGGUGAAAUUCGUAGAUAUUAGGAAGAACACCAGUGGCGAAGGCGCCUUACUGGCUCGGUACUGACGCUGAGGUACGAAAGCGUGGGGAGCAAACA
RNAcentral lists this ribosomal RNA (402 nucleotides) under uncultured bacterium. RNAcentral describes it as "bacterial SSU rRNA". It matches the Rfam family "Bacterial small subunit ribosomal RNA", at positions 355 to 774 of the family's 1533-position model. The record is from RNAcentral.